This 253-nucleotide ribosomal RNA is filed under the name uncultured bacterium. Its description in RNAcentral is "partial 16S ribosomal RNA". It matches the Rfam family "Bacterial small subunit ribosomal RNA", at positions 524 to 776 of the family's 1533-position model. The record is from RNAcentral.
UACGUAGGGUGCAAGCGUUGUCCGGAUUUAUUGGGCGUAAAGAGCUCGUAGGCGGUCUGUCGCGUCGGAUGUGAAAACCCGGGGCUUAGCUCCGGGCCUGCAUUCGAUACGGGCAGACUAGAGUGUGGUAGGGGAGACUGGAACUCCUGGUGUAGCGGUGAAAUGCGCAGAUAUCAGGAAGAACACCAGUGGCGAAGGCGGGUCUCUGGGCCACUACUGACGCUGAGGAGCGAAAGCGUGGGGAGCAAACAGG